UACGUAGGGUGCGAGCGUUGUCCGGAAUUAUUGGGCGUAAAGAGCUUGUAGGCGGUUUGUCGCGUCUGCCGUGAAAACCCGAGGCUCAACCUCGGGCCUGCAGUGGGUACGGGCAGACUAGAGUGCGGUAGGGGAGAUUGGAAUUCCUGGUGUAGCGGUGGAAUGCGCAGAUAUCAGGAGGAACACCAAUGGCGAAGGCAGAUCUCUGGGCCGUAACUGACGCUGAGGAGCGAAAGCAUGGGGGAGCGAACAGG
Molecule: ribosomal RNA, 254 nt
Filed under: uncultured bacterium
Lineage: Bacteria
Description: partial 16S ribosomal RNA
Rfam family: Bacterial small subunit ribosomal RNA
Source: RNAcentral